AUCACUGGAGGCUCCAUCAGAGGACGCAGCGCAGCCUCAGGACCUCUCGGACUGAAGGAAGACACUCGCUACACACUGCAGAUGAAAGGCCGGCCCGUCCCACAUCUCUGCGCUCAUUUGCUCGUGCACGGACCUGCAGAAAAACCCUCCUGAUCACGGAUACAAACACACAAUUCAACGAGGAUAUCGCACCCAAAACCUACCGCGAAACCCAGCCUCGGCAGAGGGUGUGGGAUUUAUCGAUCUGAUCCACGCGCUCACCUGUUUGUCAGAGCGAGGCUGCACGCAAAGUCAAGUGUCCUGCACAUCUGGAGCCUGAACGAUGCUACCGACCGUCCUCGUCACCACAUGUGGAUGUUUUAGUCUCCAUGGACACAGGAUGCACGAUGUGAAAGAAGCUUCAGACUUACCUUUUGCUGUGACAGCAAACAACGGAUCCUGUUCCUGUCUUUGGUUAUCUAGCUGUAUGAGUGUUAAUCCUCCAUCAUAAAGCUAGAUAACCGAAAGUAGGAAUGGCCUCCAAACCCUCAGCUUCCUGCGACACCAUGUAUUUUGAGGUGGGUUAUGAAACACUAAAGUUUUUUUAAUAUGAAAAUUUAAAUAACUCACAAUUGGAGCUGCAACAAGUAGCAGAUUAAGUUGAACAAAAGAGAAACAAUCAGCGACUAUUUCAACUUAUUCUUCAUUCAAAAAUUGUUCCCAUUUCCAGCUUCUGAUGCUUUUCCUAAUCAAAUGAGACAAUAAAUGGAGAAUCUUUGGAUUUUUUAAAUAGUUUAAGGCAUUAUUUACUUCAUUUUCUGACAAUUUAUACCAAUUCAAUUAUUUGUUAAUUAAAUAUAUAUAUAAUUAUUAGUUGCAGGCUAAUGCAUCAAACAUCUAAGUCUUAUUAUUUUAGUUUCUUAAACACUUAUGUCCACAUGUCCCUCUUAGUGAUUUAAUAAAUAUCUCAUCCAAUAAAUGUAAUUUGUUGGUUUCUUGUGAGUCUUUCAAAUACCAAUUAUUAGUCCAAGUCCCACUUUAAUUUACUUCAAUUGGAAGGCCGGAAGCAAAUAAGAUUUCUGAUACUAUCAGCUCGAAUAUUUACGUUUCUGUCUGUGAGAUUUUACUCAUAAAACAACAGAACUAACUUUCCUGAAGGAUGUUUUCUGUCUCCUGAGACCACAGGGGAACAUGGGAAUAAUUAUUUAAACAAAUCAGACACUUUCCAAAAGGGCCCCUGCUUAAUCUAUUCAAACAAAUGAAUGUUUCUGUCCCGCACUUCCUUUAGACACAGACUUUUGAUACCCGAUGCAUCGUAGUUCUUGCUGUUGAGUUGUCCCCAAAGCCUCUGUUGAACAAACAUUAAAACAAUGAAAUACACUAAACCAAGUUCACUCUGGCUCAGUGUUGCUAUUGCUUUGAUAAACUCAAACACUUUAAAUCAAAUCUAUAACUUCCAUUAUAAGUUUAAACAUAGAUAUUAUUCUUUUCACAAUUGAAAUUCUUAAAAUUGCAUUAAAUCAUAAAUGUCUUUGCAUAAUUGUAUCAAAACAGGUGUCCCUCUUUUGCUGCUUUUAACCACAGUGCACAAUAGAUUUAUCAUUUCUGAUUGUAAACCAGAACUCACAUUUUAAAUAUUUUCACUGUGAAAAAAAUAACACAGCUUCCCAAACCCCUGUCCUGCAUUUAUGCAAUAAAAUAUAAUAUUAAUUCCAAAAACUGGUCCAAACUGUGAAGCAAGGCAACAAAAGGAAAGAAAACACAUCAUUUCAUUUUGAAUGACACAGAAUGUUUUAAUGUAAUUGCAGGCAUUAUUUGAUGUACAGACACAGAUUAUCCAACAGUUAUAUAUACUGCCAACAAUUUCACAGCAGGUUUUAGAAAUGCAAAGGAAAUCUAAAAACAUUUUCCUAAAUCUACAUGGCCAUCGCUGUGGUCUUCUUUACUCUGAAAUAAAGGCCUGCGUCAAAUAUUGCAGGUCAGCCUCCUUCACUGCCAAAACAUCAUGCCGUCUACAUGGAAGCCAUCUUGAGGGAGUCUCCCUGCUGCCUCUAAAAUGGUUGUGUUGGCACAUAGCAGGGCGCUUUAAUUGGUCCAUCGUUAGCUGUCUAUCAGCUCCCUAAUCAGCGCUGUCUUUAAGCCUUCCUGUCCUUUACAACACGUCUCCUCUGUGGUGUGAUCUCACUAAGAGAUGUAGCUUAUUAGUGAGGUCACGUUACUGAACCCAAUCAAUGAAUCACUGUACAUGUAACUGCUACUGUGACUGAACAGUGAAUUAAACAAUCAGUGAUUUGGAUGUAGACAACCUCAUGACAUUUGAUUUCAUUAAAGCAGCUGCUGCACACCUGACACCUCUAGGAUCCCACUAAUGUCAAGUGGGGAAAUAAUAAUUCAAAUUAGUCAAAUGUAGAGAGACAACAAACUGAA
Long non-coding RNA from Anarrhichthys ocellatus (wolf-eel), 2406 nucleotides. RefSeq lists it as uncharacterized. The record is from RefSeq and is a predicted model, not a curated record. The transcript is spliced from 2 exons. Lineage: Eukaryota; Metazoa; Chordata; Actinopteri; Perciformes; Anarhichadidae.